Molecule: ribosomal RNA, 667 nt
Filed under: uncultured Bacteroidales bacterium
Lineage: Bacteria; Pseudomonadati; Bacteroidota; Bacteroidia; Bacteroidales
Description: bacterial SSU rRNA
Rfam family: Bacterial small subunit ribosomal RNA
Source: RNAcentral
GGGGCAUCAGGAAGAAAGCUUGCUUUCUUUGCUGGCGACCGGCGCACGGGUGAGUAACACGUAUCCAACCUGCCCUUUACUCGGGGAUAGCCUUUCGAAAGAAAGAUUAAUACCCGAUGGGAUAAUUAUUCCGCAUGGUUUGAUUAUUAAAGGAUUCCGGUAAAGGAUGGGGAUGCGUUCCAUUAGGUUGUUGGUGAGGUAACGGCUCACCAAGCCUUCGAUGGAUAGGGGUUCUGAGAGGAAGGUCCCCCACAUUGGAACUGAGACACGGUCCAAACUCCUACGGGAGGCAGCAGUGAGGAAUAUUGGUCAAUGGGCGCUAGCCUGAACCAGCCAAGUAGCGUGAAGGAUGAAGGCUCUAUGGGUCGUAAACUUCUUUUAUAUAAGAAUAAAGUGCAGUAUGUAUACUGUUUUGUAUGUAUUAUAUGAAUAAGGAUCGGCUAACUCCGUGCCAGCAGCCGCGGUAAUACGGAGGAUCCGAGCGUUAUCCGGAUUUAUUGGGUUUAAAGGGAGCGUAGGUGGACUGGUAAGUCAGUUGUGAAAGUUUGCGGCUCAACCGUAAAAUUGCAGUUGAUACUGUCAGUCUUGAGUACAGUAGAGGUGGGCGGAAUUCGUGGUGUGGCGGUGAAAUGCUUAGAUAUCACGAAGAACUCCGAUUGCGAAGGCA